This 391-nucleotide unclassified non-coding RNA is filed under the name soil metagenome. Its description in RNAcentral is "partial contains 5.8S ribosomal RNA, internal transcribed spacer 2, and large subunit ribosomal RNA". The stretch from base 1 to 122 matches the Rfam family "5.8S ribosomal RNA", at positions 35 to 154 of the family's 154-position model. The record is from RNAcentral.
GAUGAAGAACGCAGCGAAAUGCGAUACUUGGUGUGAAUUGCAGAAUCCCGUGAACCAUCGAGUCUUUGAACGCAAGUUGCGCCCGAAGCCAAUAGGCCGAGGGCACGCCUGCCUGGGCGUCACACGUCGUUGCCCCCCCAUCUACUCCUUCGGGAUUGCGGGGGGCGGAUGAUGGCCUCCCGUGCGCCUCGUCGCGCGGUUGGCAUAAAUGCCAAGUCCUCGGCGACGCACGCCACGACAAUCGGUGGUUGCGAAACCUCGGUUGCCCGUCGUGUGCGGUCGUCGCGCAUCGAGGGCUCGAAAAAAUUGUCGGGCUCCGGCUCGGCUUUCAACGCGACCCCAGGUCAGGCGGGGUUACCCGCUGAAUUUAAGCAUAUCAAUAAGCGGAGGA